AUCCAGAUGACGAGUUCCAAAUAGGACAAAACGCUCCCUGUCCUGGAU
RNAcentral lists this non-coding RNA (48 nucleotides) under Trichobilharzia regenti. Lineage: Eukaryota; Metazoa; Platyhelminthes; Trematoda; Strigeidida; Schistosomatidae. The record is from RNAcentral.